Molecule: long non-coding RNA, 1519 nt
Organism: Ictalurus punctatus (channel catfish)
Lineage: Eukaryota; Metazoa; Chordata; Actinopteri; Siluriformes; Ictaluridae
Source: Ensembl
AGAUCAGUUACAAGCCUGAGUGCUGAUCGAAGUUCCACCGUAUCUCAGGAAGAAAUAGACGCGGUGCUCGUUCCGUUUUUGUUGCUGUUGUCAUGUGAACAGAAUUAUGGGAUGGGCUUCUCUGACAGAGUCGCAUGACUUUCACCAGACGUUUAUAGGAUUAAAUGACGUCUCAAAUCGAGACGUGACGGAACUUGACGUGACGUGGUGAUGUGAUGAGACGUGAUUGGACUUGACAUGACGCGACGUGGCGAUGCGAUGAGACAUUGUAACGUGUUGUAGUGAUGAGGCGUUGUGAUGACGACUGUGUGUCUAGACACCUGGAUUUAAGUUUAUGACGUGGUGUUGUGACACGUCUGUGAUGAGAGGAGACAUGACGUGAUGUGACGUGACAUUUUGGUGUGAUGUGGUCAAGAGACAUUUCGAUGGGACUUUGUGACAAGGCGUUGUGAUGAAACGUGGUGAGACGACGUGAUGAGACAUGCCAUGAGACGUGGCGAGACAUGACAUGACAUGACAAGGCGUUAGACAUUUCGAUGGGACUUUGUGACAAGGCGUUGUGAUGAAACGUGGUGAGACGACGUGAUGAGACAUGCCAUGAGACGUGGCGAGACAUGACAUGACAUGACAAGGCGUUGUGAUGAGACGUGGUGAUGGGAUGUGGUGAGACGUGACAUUGUGACGAGGCGUGGUGACGUGGUGUUGUGACGUGACAUUGUGAUAAGACUUGGUGAGACGUGACAUUGUGACGAGGCAUGAUGACGUGGUGUUGUGACGUGACGUGCAAGUUCUAGUUCACAUCACAUGUUGUCACCAUGUCACUACACAACGUCACGUCUUGUCUCCUGUCUCUCCCUCUCUCUGUCUCUCCCUCCCUCUCUCUCUCUGUCUCUCCCUCCCUCUCUCUCUCUCUGUCUCUCUUUCUGUCUCCUCUCUCUGUCUCUCUCUCUCCCUCUCCCUCCCUCCCUCCCUCUCUCUCUCUCUGUCUCACUUUCUGUCUCCUCUCUCUAUCUCUCUCUGUCUCUCUCUCCCUCUCCCUCCCUCCCUCUCUCUCUCUGUCUCACUUUCUGUCUCCUCUCUCUGUCUCUCUCUCUCCCUCUCCCUCCCUCCCUCCCUCUGUCUCUCUGUCUCACUUUCUGUCUCCUCUCUCUAUCUCUCUCUGUCUCUCUCUCCCUCUCCCUCUCUCCCUCUCUCUCUCUGUCUCACUUUCUGUCUCCUCUCUCUGUCUCUCUCUCUCCCUCUCCCUCCCUCCCUCCCUCUCUCUCUCUGUCUCACUUUCUGUUUCCGCUCUCUGUCUCUCUCUGUCUCUCUCUCGCUCUCUCUCUGUGGUUAUUAUUCUGUUAUUAUUCCCUCACCGCUGCUGGAUGAGACCUGUCAUUUUUAGCCUCUGUGGGAGAUUUGAUGGGAGAGAUAUCCCUCACACACACACACACACACACACACGCACACGCACACACACGCACUCAUUCAUCUCCCCCUUCCCCCCAUCAGAACGAGUGUGACUCCCCCUCCCUCCUCC